ACUUACCUUUUGUUGCUUCGGCGGCUCCGGCCGCCGGAGGUCAAAAACUCUGUCUUUUAUGAAUCUCUGAGAAAAAAACAAAUAAUCAAAACUUUCAACAACGGAUCUCUUGGUUCUGGCAUCGAUGAAGAACGCAGCGAAAUGCGAUAAGUAAUGUGAAUUGCAGAAUUCAGUGAAUCAUCGAAUCUUUGAACGCACAUUGCGCCCGCCGGUAUUCCGGCGGGCAUGCCUGUUCGAGCGUCAUUUCACCACUCAAGCCCAGCUUGGUGUUGGGGCACCCGGUCCGCCGGGGCCCCCAAGUACAUCGGCGGUCUCGCCCGACCCUGAACGCAGUAACUCGCGGUAAAACGCGCUUCGUUCGGCGGCUCUGGCGCGCACCUGCCGCUAAACAAACCCCAUAAGGUUGACCUCGGAUCAGGUAGGAAUACCCGCUGAACUUAAGCAUAUCAAUAAGCGGAGGAAUUUC
RNAcentral lists this ribosomal RNA (466 nucleotides) under Gaeumannomyces graminis. Its description in RNAcentral is "eukaryotic LSU rRNA". The stretch from base 90 to 243 matches the Rfam family "5.8S ribosomal RNA". The record is from RNAcentral. Lineage: Eukaryota; Fungi; Ascomycota; Sordariomycetes; Magnaporthales; Magnaporthaceae.